GAUGAAGAACGCAGCGAAAUGCGAUACGUAAUGUGAAUUGCAGAAUUCAGUGAAUCAUCGAGUCUUUGAACGCACAUUGCGCCCCCUGGUAUUCCGGGGGGCAUGCCUGUCCGAGCGUCAUUGCUGCCCUCAAGCACGGCUUGAGUUGGGCCUCCGUCCUCCUCCCGGGGGACGGGCCCGAAAGGCAGCGGCGGCACCGCGUCCGGUCCUCGAGCGUAUGGGGCUUCGUCACCCGCUCUUGUAGGCCCGGCCGGCGCUUGCCGACACAUCAAUCUUUUUUCCAGGUUGACCUCGGAUCAGGUAGGGAUACCCGCUGAACUUAAGCAUAUCAAUAAGCGGAGGA
RNAcentral lists this unclassified non-coding RNA (343 nucleotides) under soil metagenome. RNAcentral describes it as "partial contains 5.8S ribosomal RNA, internal transcribed spacer 2, and large subunit ribosomal RNA". The stretch from base 1 to 120 matches the Rfam family "5.8S ribosomal RNA", at positions 35 to 154 of the family's 154-position model. The record is from RNAcentral.